RNAcentral lists this long non-coding RNA (2755 nucleotides) under Daucus carota (carrot). RNAcentral describes it as "long non-coding RNA (DCAR_LNC002501)". The record is from RNAcentral. Lineage: Eukaryota; Viridiplantae; Streptophyta; Magnoliopsida; Apiales; Apiaceae.
UAUCACGGUAAUCGCGACCUCUGUGUUAUGUUAGCAAGCAAAUUUCCAGUUCGAACAAAUAAUCUGGGAAGUCUUGCUAUGGUAGAAAGAUGUUCUUCGAACAAGCAAUCUGGGAAUUUUUUUACACUAUUUUCACCUGCAGCUAAACUGAAGCGGUCAAGAACCUGUAUGUGAUACGAAAAUGCAGGACCCGGCAGAGCUGUAAAAUUAGUAAGUCGGAUCUGCUUCAAAGUAUCCACUGGUUUGUUGAGCUCUCUCAGAACGAACAGGUGUGCAGUGUGCCACUGAUGUAAACAAUGGCUUCUUCUCUUAGGUUUGUGGUUCUCAGAACCACAAUUCUCACUAUGCUUUUCCCGUAAAGCUCGAGUGGCGAUCAGCUGCCAUCUUUCCGCUUUUAUUCGGGAUAUUGGUUGGUGAUCUCUGUCACAAAGGUAAGUCAUUGCUUGGAUGAUAUGCACCUACAAACCACAUCAGGGAACAUGUAGCUAAGCAGUCAUCCUUCAGAAAACGAAUUCCGAUUAUUAACAAGACCAUCAAAUAUACCAGAUCAUACUCUCGAAGUGAAACGACGACGUCGUUUUAAGUGGGAAAAAACAACUCAAUGACAUCUCUUAUAUAAUGGAUGGUGGUGAUAUUCCUGAUAUUGGCGAUACUCCCAAAGUGGAACGACGUCGGUUUAAGUAGAAAAGAACAACAACUCAAUGAUAUCUUUUAUGGUUGAUUACGGUGAUACUUCUGAUGUAGGCGAUACUCUCGAAGUGAAAUGACAUCGUUUUAAGUAGAAAAAACAAUUCAAUGACAUUUUUUUAUAGUGGAUUACGAUUGAUACUCCCAAUGUAGGCGAUACUCUCGAAGUAAAACGACGUCGUUUUCAUUUAAGUGAGAAAAACUAGUGGAUUACAAUGAUAUUGCCAAUGUAGGUAAUACUCUCGAAGUGAAAUUACAUCGUUUUAAGUAGAAAAAACAAUUCAAUGACAUUUUUUUAUAGUGGAGUACGAUUGAUACUCCCAAUGUAGGCGAUACUCUCGAAGUAAAACGACGUCGUUUUCAUUUAAGUGAGAAAAACUAGUGGAUUACAAUGAUAUUGCCAAUGUAGGUAAUACUCUCGAAGUGAAACGACGUCGUUUUAAGUUGGAAAAAAAUAACUCAAUGACAACUUUUAUAAUGGAUUACAGUGAUAGUCCUAAUGUAGGCGAAGUCGUUUUAAGUGGAAAUUAAACAUUUACAUUUUCUAGAGUAUUCUAUAUAAAAAAUGGAAUAAAAAAGGUUAUAAAAUAUAAGAUUGCCCAGAUAAAAAAUGAAUAUCCGGCAAAUGUAAUCGAAUUGGUAAAAAUAAAUAUUCUUAUAUCUCUUAAAUUAAGAAGUUAAGUGUCUUUCACGAUCAUUCACAUCAUUGUAUUAUUCACUUUCACAUUUAUUAUUCACUUGCGUUAAUUAGUUUAACUAAUAAGAAGCCAGAUAGAAGAGGAUGAACACAAUUGGCAUGCAGGCCAUCGUUAUUGACUACAAACAGAAGAUUCUGCCACCGCUGCAAAAUUAUAGUAUUAUUUUUGCUCGUUUUGUUUUUGUUUUCUUUAGCUGAUGAUCAAAUUUAAUUCAUACUUGCUAUCUACUAAUUACACUUGGAAUGUGGAACAAUUAUGGAAGUUGCUAUUCGCUAUCUACUAAUUACACUUGGAAUGUGGAACGAUUAUGGAAGUUGCUAUUCAGUAUCAACAUCUACUUUGCUUUCUGGACCCUGUAUCGAAACUCUAGUACAGCUCGUAGAAUGUCAGGAUAAUCGCCGCCUCUGUGUUCCGUUGGCAGGAAAUUUUCAGUUCAAACAAGCAAUCUGGGAAGUUUUACAUUGGCAGAAAGAUGUUCUUCGAACAAGCAAUCUGGAAAAAAAAUUUACGCCAUUUUUACCUGCAGCCAGGGGCGGAUCUAGGAUUCAAACUGUAGGCGGGCACCAAGCAAAUAUUCGGAAAACACCUAUAUAUAUUUCAAAUUUUAUGGGGGCACUUCUAUAAUUAUGGAAAAUUUAGAAUGGUGAAAAAAUGUAACAAAAGAAAUUAGGGGGGCACGUGUCCCCCAUGCCUCUUCCUAGAUCCGCCCCUGCCUGCAGCCACAGUCAAGCCGUCAAAAACCUGUAUGUGAUACGAAAAGGCAGGAACCUCAGAGCUGCAAAAUAUGAGAUAUGGAUCUGCUACAGAGUAUCAACUGAUUUAUUGACUUCUCUUAGUACUAAAAGGUCUGCAGUGUGCCAUUGAUGUAAACAAUGGCUUCUUCUCUUAGGUUUGUGGUUCUCAGAACCACAAUUCUCACUAAGCUUUUCCCGUAAAGCUCGAGUGGCCAUCCGGGCAAUCUUUCCGCUUUUAGUCGAGAUAUUGGUUGGAGAUCUAUGUCACAAAGGUAAGUCAUUGCUUGGAUGAUAUGCACCUAAAAAACACAUCAGUGAAUUCAGAAACGAAAAAAAAGUGCAGAAGACUAAACACACUUCUGAGCAGAAAAGGUCUCAUACUUGUCACAUUUCAACAGUGCACUUGCUCAAGAAAUUGAGCAAGUAUGUACAUUGUGAUUAUUAACAAGAUCAUCAAAUAUAUCAGAUCAUACCUCAGUAUCCUUGCAGCAUUCGUGCUUGGAUUUGAGCUGCAAACAUCAUGGCAAAUUAAAAUUCUCACAAACAUAUCCCAAAAUUGUGCCACCUAGAGACAAUAGAGCAUAUUAGUAGAUAAGAAUGAAAGAAGAUAUGGAGUCUAGACGACUCAAUGACAUC